CCUACGGGAGGCAGCAGUGGGGAAUUUUGGACAAUGGGCGCAAGCCUGAUCCAGCCAUGCCGCGUGAGUGAAGAAGGCCUUCGGGUUGUAAAGCUCUUUCGGCCGGGACGAAAUCGCAUGCGUGAAUAUCGUGUGUGGAUGACGGUACCGGAAUAAGAAGCACCGGCUAACUACGUGCCAGCAGCCGCGGUAAUACGUAGGGUGCGAGCGUUAAUCGGAAUUACUGGGCGUAAAGCGUGCGCAGGCGGUUUCGUAAGCCAGAUGUGAAAUCCCCGGGCUUAACCUGGGAACUGCAUUUGGGACUGCGAGGCUAGAGUACGGCAGAGGGAGGUGGAAUUCCACGUGUAGCAGUGAAAUGCGUAGAUAUGUGGAGGAACACCGAUGGCGAAGGCAGCCUCCUGGGCUAGUACUGACGCUCAUGCACGAAAGCGUGGGGAGCAAACAGGAUUAGAUACCCUGGUAGUCCACGCCCUAAACCGAUGACAACUAGUUGUUGGGGAUUUAACAUCCUUAGUAACGCAGCUAACGCGUGAAGUUGUCCGCCUGGGGAGUACGGUCGCAGAUUAAAACUCAAAGGAAUUGACGG
Molecule: ribosomal RNA, 586 nt
Filed under: uncultured bacterium
Lineage: Bacteria
Description: bacterial SSU rRNA
Rfam family: Bacterial small subunit ribosomal RNA
Source: RNAcentral